AACGAACGCUGGCGGCAGGCCUAACACAUGCAAGUCGAACGCUGCAGCAAUGCAGAGUGGCAGACGGGUGAGUAACGCGUGGGAACCUUCCCAGUGGUACGGAAUAGCCGCGGGAAACUGGGGGUAAUUCCGCACAAGCCCGUAGGGGGAAAGAUUUAUCGCCAUCGGAUGGGUCCGCGCCGGGUUAGCUAGUUGGUGAGGUAAUGGCUCACCAAGGCGACGACCCGUAGCUGGUCUGAGAGGAUAAUCAGCCAAACUGGGACUGAGACACGGCCCAGACUCCUACGGGAGGCAGCAGUGGGGAAUAUUGGACAAUGGGCGCAAGCCUGAUCCAGCCAUGCCGCGUGAGUGACGAAGGCCUUAGGGUUGUAAAGCUCUUUUGGCGGGGACGAUAAUGACGGUACCCGCAGAAUAAGCUCCGGCUAACUUCGUGCCAGCCGCCGCGGUAA
RNAcentral lists this ribosomal RNA (449 nucleotides) under uncultured bacterium. RNAcentral describes it as "partial 16S ribosomal RNA". It matches the Rfam family "Bacterial small subunit ribosomal RNA", at positions 29 to 523 of the family's 1533-position model. The record is from RNAcentral.